Molecule: transfer RNA, 67 nt
Filed under: Marmota monax (woodchuck)
Lineage: Eukaryota; Metazoa; Chordata; Mammalia; Rodentia; Sciuridae
Description: tRNA.Val
Source: RNAcentral
GGUUGUGGCUUAGUGGUAGAGAGCUCGCCUAACAUGUGUGAGGCCAUAGGUUCAAUCCUUAGCACCA